CCUACGGGGGGCAGCAGUCGAGAAUCAUUCACAAUGGGGGAAACCCUGAUGGUGCGACGCCGCGUGGGGGAAUGAAGGUCUUCGGAUUGUAAACUCCUGUCAUGUGGGAGCAAAUUAAAAUGAUAGUAUCACAAGAGGAAGCGACGGCUAACUCUGUGCCAGCAGCCGCGGUAAUACAGAGGUCUCAAGCGUUGUUCGGAAUCACUGGGCGUAAGGGGUGCGUAGGCUGUUUCGUAAGUUGUGUGCGAAAGGCGCGGGCUCAACCCGCGGACGGCACAUGAUACUGCGAGACUAGAGUAAUGGAGGGGGAAGCGGAAUUCUUGGUGUAGCGGUGAAAUGCGUAGAUAUCGAGAGGAACACUCGUGGCGAAGGCGGGUUCCUGGACAUUAACUGACGCUGAGGCACGAAGGCCAGGGGAGCGAAAGGGAUUAGAUACCCCUGUAGUC
Molecule: ribosomal RNA, 446 nt
Filed under: uncultured bacterium
Lineage: Bacteria
Description: partial 16S ribosomal RNA
Rfam family: Bacterial small subunit ribosomal RNA
Source: RNAcentral